ACGACCACAUAACGUUAAAACAUCGGUUCCCUUACGAUCACCGAGGUUAAGCAACGUCGUACCUGGUCAGUACUUAGGUGGGUGACUGUUUGGUAAUACCAGGUGAU
Non-coding RNA from Acanthosepion pharaonis, 107 nucleotides. Lineage: Eukaryota; Metazoa; Mollusca; Cephalopoda; Sepiida; Sepiidae. The record is from the annotation of a GenBank genome assembly.